AAGUUGACCUCGGAUCAGGUAGGGAUACCCGCUGAACUUAAGCAUAUCAAUAAGCGGAGGAAAAGAAACCAACAGGGAUUGCCCCAGUAACGGCGAGUGAAGCGGCAACAGCUCAAAUUUGAAAUCUGGCCCCCCCCGCGGGGCCCGAGUUGUAAUUUGCAGAGGAUGCUUUUGGCGCGGCGCCUUCCGAGUUCCCUGGAACGGGACGCCACAGAGGGUGAGAGCCCCGUCUGGUCGGACGCCUAGCCUGUGUAAAGCUCCUUCGACGAGUCGAGUAGUUUGGGAAUGCUGCUCAAAAUGGGAGGUAUAUGUCUUCUAAAGCUAAAUACCGGCCAGAGACCGAUAGCGCACAAGUAGAGUGAUCGAAAGAUGAAAAGCACUUUGAAAAGAGGGUUAAACAGUACGUGAAAUUGUUGAAAGGGAAGCGCUUGUGACCAGACUUGGGCCCGGUGAAUCACCCAGCGUUCUCGCUGGUGCACUUCGCCGGGCUCAGGCCAGCAUCGGUUCGCGGCGGGGGACAAAGGCUUCGGGAACGUGGCUCCUCCGGGAGUGUUAUAGCCCGUUGCGCAAUACCCCGCGGCGGACCGAGGUUCGCGCUCCGCAAGGAUGCUGGCGUAAUGGUCACCAGCGACCCGUCUUGAAACACGGACCAAGGAGUCGUCUUCGUAUGCGAGUGUUCGGGUGUGAAACCCCUACGCGUAAUGAAAGUGAACGCAGGUGAGAGCUUCGGCGCAUCAUCGACCGAUCCUGAUGUUCUCGGAUGGAUUUGAGUAAGAGCAUACGGGGCCGGACCCGAAAGAAGGUGAACUAUGCCUGUGUAGGGUGAAGCCAGAGGAAACUCUGGUGGAGGCUCGCAGCGGUUCUGACGUGCAAAUCGAUCGUCAAACAUGGGCAUGGGGGCGAAAGACUAAUCGAACCU
This 919-nucleotide ribosomal RNA is filed under the name Ophiocordyceps puluongensis. RNAcentral's name for it is "Ophiocordyceps sp. ZX-2020a partial 28S ribosomal RNA". It matches the Rfam family "Eukaryotic large subunit ribosomal RNA", at positions 1 to 942 of the family's 3401-position model. The record is from RNAcentral. Lineage: Eukaryota; Fungi; Ascomycota; Sordariomycetes; Hypocreales; Ophiocordycipitaceae.